Molecule: ribosomal RNA, 408 nt
Filed under: uncultured bacterium
Lineage: Bacteria
Description: partial 16S ribosomal RNA
Rfam family: Bacterial small subunit ribosomal RNA
Source: RNAcentral
GACGAACGCUGGCGGCGUGCUUAACACAUGCAAGUCGAACGAAGUGGCGAACGGGUGAGUAACGCGUAAUCAACCUGCCCUUCAGAGGGGGACAACAGUUGGAAACGACUGCUAAUACCGCAUACUGAAGGAGGGGAUUGCGUCUGAUUAGCUAGUUGGAGGGGGAACGGCCCACCAAGGCGGUGAUCAGUAGCCGGGCUGAGAGGAUGGACGGCGACAUUGGGACUGGAGCACGGCCCAAACUCCUACGGGAGGGCGCAGUGGGGGAUCUUCCGCAAUGGACGAAAGUCCUACGGAGCAACGCCGCGUGGGUGAUGACGGCCUUCGGGUUGUAAAGCUCUGUUAAUCGGGACGCGGUACCGGAAUAGAAAGCCACGGCUAACUACGUGCCAGCAGCCGCGGUAAUAC